CAUCAGGGGUGCUGAAAGGAUUUAUUGAUAAAUCCCGGUUCGGCUGAGAAUGGAGGGACGUUCCCCUCCUAAACCCUUUAACCUGAUCCGGAUAAUGCCGGCGUAGGAAGAAA
RNAcentral lists this non-coding RNA (113 nucleotides) under Harryflintia acetispora. RNAcentral describes it as "TPP riboswitch (THI element)". It matches the Rfam family "TPP riboswitch aptamer (THI element)", at positions 9 to 90 of the family's 105-position model. Rfam says of the family: Vitamin B(1) in its active form thiamin pyrophosphate (TPP) is an essential coenzyme that is synthesised by coupling of pyrimidine and thiazole moieties in bacteria. The previously detected thiamin-regulatory element, thi box was extended, resulting in a new, highly conserved RNA secondary structure, the THI element, which is widely distributed in eubacteria and also occurs in some archaea. Lineage: Bacteria; Bacillati; Bacillota; Clostridia; Eubacteriales; Oscillospiraceae. The record is from RNAcentral.